GCUCGCGUUGGAUUAAACUACUUGGAAGAGUAAAAGGCUCCCCAAGGCGUUGGUCUAGUAACUGGUUUGGAGAGGAGGACCAGUCCCCAUUGGGAUUGGGACCCGGCCCCAACUUCGUCGGGGAGGCAGCAGUGGGGAAUUUUCCGCAAUGGGCGAAAGCUUGCCGGAGCAAUACCGCUUGAGGGAGGAAGGCUCUUGGGUUGUAAACCUCUUUUCUCAGGGAAGAACAAAAUGACGGUGCCGGAGGAAUCGGCUUCGGAUAACUCCGUGCCAGCAGCCGCGGUAAUACGGAGGAUGCAAGCGUUAUCCGGAAUGAUUGGGCGUAAAGCGUCCGCAGGUGGCUGUUCAAGUCUGCUGUUAAAGCACAGGGCUUAUCCCUGGAAAGGCAGUGGAAACUGAACGGCUAGAGAGUGGUAGGGGCAGAGGGAAUUCCCAGUGUAGCGGUGAAAUGCGUAGAGAUUGGGAAGAACACCAGUGGCGAAGGCGCUCUGCUGGACCACAACUGACACUCAGGGACGAAAGCUAGGGGAGCGAAUGGGAUUAGAUACCCCAGUAGUCCUAGCCGUAAACGAUGGAUACUAGGCGUUGUGAGUAUCGACCCUCACAGUGCCGUAGCCAACGCGUUAAGUAUCCCGCCUGGGGAGUACGCGCGCAAGCGUGAAACUCAAAGGAAUUGACGGGGGCCCGCACAAGCGGUGGAGUAUGUGGUUUAAUUCGAUGCAACGCGAAGAACCUUACCAGGGCUUGACAUGUCCGGAACCCAACUGAAAGGUUGGGGUGCCUUCGGGAGCCGGAACACAGGUGGUGCAUGGCUGUCGUCAGCUCGUGUCGUGAGAUGUUGGGUUAAGUCCCGCAACGAGCGCAACCCUCGUUUUUAGUUGCCAGCACUUCGGGUGGGCACUCUAAAGAGACUGCCGGUGACAAACCGGAGGAAGGUGGGGAUGACGUCAAGUCAGCAUGCCCCUUACGUCCUGGGCGACACACGUACUACAAUGCUACGGACAAAGGGCCGCAAGCCGGCAACGGCAAGCAAAUCCCAUAAACCGUGGCUCAGUUCAGAUUGCAGGCUGCAACUCGCCUGCAUGAAGGUGGAAUCGCUAGUAAUCCCAGAUCAGC
Molecule: unclassified non-coding RNA, 1116 nt
Filed under: uncultured cyanobacterium
Lineage: Bacteria; Bacillati; Cyanobacteriota
Description: bacterial SSU rRNA
Rfam family: Bacterial small subunit ribosomal RNA
Source: RNAcentral